GAUGAACGCUGGCGGCAUGCCUAAUACAUGCAAGUCGAGCGAACAGAUAAGGAGCUUGCUCCUUUGACGUUAGCGGCGGACGGGUGAGUAACACGUGGGUAACCUACCUAUAAGACUGGAAUAACUCCGGGAAACCGGGGCUAAUGCCGGAUAACAUUUAGAACCGCAUGGUUCUAAAGUGAAAGAUGGUUUUGCUAUAACUUAUAGAUGGACCCGCGCCGUAUUAGCUAGUUGGUAAGGUAAUGGCUUACCAAGGCAACGAUACGUAGCCGACCUGAGAGGGUGAUCGGCCACACUGGAACUGAGACACGGUCCAGACUCCUACGGGAGGCAGCAGUAGGGAAUCUUCCGCAAUGGGCGAAAGCCUGACGGAGCAACGCCGCGUGAGUGAUGAAGGGUUUCGGCUCGUAAAACUCUGUUAUUAGGGAAGUACAAACGUGUAAGUAACUGUGCACGUCUUGACGGUACCUAAUCAGAAAGCCACGGCUAACUACGUGCCAGCCGCCGCCGUAA
This 513-nucleotide ribosomal RNA is filed under the name uncultured bacterium. Its description in RNAcentral is "partial 16S ribosomal RNA". It matches the Rfam family "Bacterial small subunit ribosomal RNA", at positions 28 to 523 of the family's 1533-position model. The record is from RNAcentral.